CGGGAGCAAUUCGUCGAACAGCUUGAGGCGCGCCGGCCGGGCAACCCGGGCGUCAGCCACGCACUCCAGCUGUUCGACGAAUGCCUCCUCCACGCCAGGCAAUGC
This 105-nucleotide microRNA precursor is filed under the name Sorghum bicolor (sorghum). RNAcentral describes it as "miR5564b stem-loop (sbi-MIR5564b)". The record is from miRBase by way of RNAcentral. Lineage: Eukaryota; Viridiplantae; Streptophyta; Magnoliopsida; Poales; Poaceae.